This 300-nucleotide ribosomal RNA is filed under the name uncultured Planomicrobium sp. RNAcentral describes it as "bacterial SSU rRNA". It matches the Rfam family "Bacterial small subunit ribosomal RNA", at positions 115 to 408 of the family's 1533-position model. Lineage: Bacteria; Bacillati; Bacillota; Bacilli; Caryophanales; Caryophanaceae. The record is from RNAcentral.
ACGUGGGCAACCUGCCCUGCAGAUCGGGAUAACUCCGGGAAACCGGUGCUAAUACCGAAUAGUUUGUUGCCCCUCCUGGGGCGAAACGGAAAGACGGUUUCGGCUGUCACUGCAGGAUGGGCCCGCGGCGCAUUAGCUAGUUGGUGGGGUAAUGGCCCACCAAGGCGACGAUGCGUAGCCGACCUGAGAGGGUGAUCGGCCACACUGGGACUGAGACACGGCCCAGACUCCUACGGGAGGCAGCAGUAGGGAAUCUUCCGCAAUGGACGCAAGUCUGACGGAGCAACGCCGCGUGAGUGA